CCAUCCAUGCUACUGGAUGAACCUACGAUCCUGAAUAAAGAGCGGAUCGGACAAAGUAGCGAAACACGCAAGUGUGGGA
Legionella drancourtii LLAP12 is the source of this 79-nucleotide non-coding RNA. The record is from Rfam. NCBI's taxonomy places the organism in Bacteria, Pseudomonadati, Pseudomonadota, Gammaproteobacteria, Legionellales, Legionellaceae.